CCUACGGGCGGCAGCAGUAGGGAAUAUUGCUCAAUGGGGGAAACCCUGAAGCAGCAGCGCCGCGUGGAGGAUGAAGGUUUUAUGAUUGUAAACUCCUUUUGUUAGAGAAGAUUAUGACGGUAUCUAACGAAUAAGCACCGGCUACCUCGGUGCCAGCCGCGGCGGUACUACGGAGGGUGCAAGCGUUACUCGGAAUCACUGGGCGUAAAGAGUGCGUAGUCAGGGUAAUAAGUCAGAUGGGAAAUCCUGUAGCUUAACUAAAGAACUGCAUUUGAAACUGUUACUCUGGAGGGUGGGAGAGGUCGGUGGAAUUCUUGGUGUAGGUGUAAAAUCCGUAGAGAUCAAGAGGAAUA
Molecule: ribosomal RNA, 353 nt
Filed under: uncultured bacterium
Lineage: Bacteria
Description: partial 16S ribosomal RNA
Rfam family: Bacterial small subunit ribosomal RNA
Source: RNAcentral